This 253-nucleotide ribosomal RNA is filed under the name uncultured bacterium. RNAcentral describes it as "partial 16S ribosomal RNA". It matches the Rfam family "Bacterial small subunit ribosomal RNA", at positions 524 to 776 of the family's 1533-position model. The record is from RNAcentral.
UACGAGGGGUGCAAGCGUUGCUCGGAAUUAUUGGGCGUAAAGGGUAGGUAGGUGGUCUCAUUUGUCUGGGGUGAAAGCCUUGAGCUUAACUCAAGAAGUGCCCUAGAAACGGUGAGACUGGAGUACUGGAGAGGGUCGUGGAAUUCCCGGUGUAGCGGUGAAAUGCGUAGAGAUCGGGAGGAACACCAGAGGCGAAGGCGGCGACCUGGACAGUUACUGACACUCAACUACGAAAGCGUGGGGAGCAAACAGG